CCAGUGUGCAGUGGUAUGGCCAAACCAGAGGGGCCCUCUGCCCCAGCUGACCAGACGCCCUGGCUUCCGGCAACCAGCCACUAAAGGGUUAACACCCUCCUAAUAGGGACCGCCUCCCCUCCUCCCAUCCCCCCACCCUGCCGCUCUACUGGUCGCUCUACUGGUCGUUAGAGAAUUUGGCCAUCACCUCUUCAUUCACUCCAUCAUUCAAAAACAUCUAUUGCAAACCUACAGUGAGCCAGGUCCCAUGCUAGGUGCUGCCCUCAAUGUGUUCCCAAGCCUGUAGGGGAGAGACUUCCAAAUAUGGAUUAACACAGCGUGACAGGUGUCACAAUAGAGGCCUGCAGACUCUCCUGGGGGUCUCCAUGGUGGUGGGAAAGGUCUGCCUGGGGAGGAGUCUCAGAGGAGGAAUGCAAACUGGGUCUUGAAGGGAUCAGCAAUUCUAAACAAUGUCAGUGACAAAAUCUUCUUCCUCCUAAAACACCUUCUGUUGGUCUGCAUUCAAUGAGUUUUAAGAACACAGCAAGGAGACCAGAUUUUCUUCAUUUUUUAAAGCCUUGGAGAUCAAACAAAGGACACUGGAUUAAAUGCAGCAGGAAGGAUCAGGGCUCAAAAGAAAGAAUUGCCAGUUUGGUGGAUUCAGCACAGGGAUCACCUCCUCCAGGAAGCCCUCCCUCAGGGCUCUGAGCACACAGCAGUGAACUCUGGGGUUCAGCUCCUUCCCUCUCGAGACUGCAGAUCCUUUGAGAGGGGACGUCUGUCAACAAACUCUAGGGAUCCCUCGCUGUUCCAGGCACUGUGCUAGGCUCUGAGGAUGGAGCAGUGAACAAGACCCACCCACAUCUUACGGUCCUGACAGGCUCGGUGGAGAGGCAAAGGGGCUGCUCACGCCUCCAGUGAAGACGGGCACGCUGCAUCUCUGAGCGCCAGGCUCCUCCUCUCCUUCUGUGGCCCUGAGCAGCAGCUGCAAUUAAGGAGAUCCUGGGCACUGACUUCUGGGAAAGGGAGGAUGUUCUCCCAGACAGAUCAGGAUGCUGGAAUUGUCUGCCUCUUCUUUGCUCCUGCCCCUCCUUGUUUUCCAUUGCACAGGACACACCUGCCGCCUGGACCGUUUAGGUACAUGGUGUGUUUACUACCGUUCCUGAGAUCAGGCGAGUUUCGGAUUUGUUUUUAAGAUGCUACAAGAGAGCUUAAAGGUCACCUUGUCCAACUGACCUGGCCUGCUCGAGCUUCAAGCUUCUCUCUGAUUGCCGCCCAGCUUCAGAGGAUACCUUAGGUGGCAAGAAGCACUAUCUCUCAGCAUGGUCCAAUUAUUCACUGGCCACUUCGGAAUGUUUAUUGAUUCAUUCAAUCAAAUGGUAUGUAUUGAAUGCUACAUUCUGAGCACUUACUAGUCACUAGGAAAUAAAUCAGUGAACAAAAC
RNAcentral lists this long non-coding RNA (1423 nucleotides) under Equus caballus (horse). RNAcentral's name for it is "lncRNA (ENSECAG00000051777.1)". The record is from RNAcentral. Lineage: Eukaryota; Metazoa; Chordata; Mammalia; Perissodactyla; Equidae.